GGGGGCGCAUGUCUCGACAAGGAUCAUUUUUCGGAAAUUGCAGGCCGGAUCGAUGGGCCCGUAAAACCCAUCAAAACUAACAACUGCCAACAGAAAUGUUGCAGCUCCUGCGCUCGCUUAAGCUUCGACAGGCUCAGCUUACCCUGAGUUUAUCGAACGGGUACGCGUAGCGCAGGGGGUCCCCUCCGAAGCUUUAGCGUAGGAGGGCAUCGGCUCUUGAUGUCUCAUAGAGAAUCACCGGUGUAAUAAUGGGGCUCGUUCUCGGCAAGCCGGUUCAGUAGUUGAGAACUAAAUCACAGAACCAAUCUGUCCUGAGUUUAUCGAAGGACUAAACCUGUAGAUGGUUUCCGGAAGAACUCUUGGAAGAGGGUUCAAUCCCUCCGCCUCCACAA
This 392-nucleotide transfer-messenger RNA is filed under the name Candidatus Jorgensenbacteria bacterium CG10_big_fil_rev_8_21_14_0_10_54_38. It matches the Rfam family "transfer-messenger RNA". From Rfam's summary of the family: Bacterial tmRNA, also known as 10Sa RNA or SsrA, is named for its dual tRNA and mRNA-like properties. RNAcentral also lists the same sequence under 2 other names. Lineage: Bacteria; Candidatus Joergenseniibacteriota. The record is from RNAcentral.